GAGCAGCCGGUCUGAUGACUGCUGCUGAUGCAGUUGAAACUGUUGGCUUGGGUUUGGAUUUUGGAACAGCAGUCUCUCUCCUUACGCGAACUGAAGCAGGAACCUGAAAACAGACUAAAAAUUAGGGCUCAGAGUGUGGGAAUACUAGCCAAUCCUUGUUGGGUGCUACAUUAUCAUACAAGCAAGGUUGUUAAAUCAUGUGUGCACAAUUUUAUAACAAUGCUAACAGAAUUUAAACAUUCCAUGCUCCAUAUGAUAAUCCAAUUUUCUUUGCUCUCAUCUCCCCUACAGUUCCUUCAGAUGAGGCUUCAUGCAAUGGUAAUUUUCUUCUGUUCAUAUGUAAAUUGAUAAGUUCCAAUAAUGACUUCUGGGAAUUGUGUUCAGCGAUCUAUUUUCUGAUUAUGAACAGAAAAUGGGAUCAACAUCUGCAAAUCAUAAUGCAUUCCGAAUGUCUUCCAUGUUUCCAAAUGUCUUGAAACUUUUCUACUGAAAACCUUCAGGCAGUUUGCCUCAAGGUUAAACACAUUAGAAAUUGUCUAAUGAGCAAUAGUACUACUUUUUCUUAAUGCAAUAUCCCCAGUAAGAGAAGUGCUUUACCUUUCCAUUUUAAAUGUACACUUUCCAUUUUAUAUGUAUACUAUACAUAUAAAUGUUUAAAGAGAGAAGAGUUUUU
RNAcentral lists this unclassified non-coding RNA (673 nucleotides) under Hevea brasiliensis (rubber tree). The record is from RNAcentral. Lineage: Eukaryota; Viridiplantae; Streptophyta; Magnoliopsida; Malpighiales; Euphorbiaceae.